UACAGAGGUCUCGAGCGUUGUUCGGAUUCAUUGGGCGUAAAGGGUGCGUAGGUGGCGCUGUAAGUCAGGUGUGAAAUUUCGGAGCUUAACUCCGAAACUGCAUUUGAUACUGCAGUGCUUGAGGACUGGAGAGGAGACUGGAAUUUACGGUGUAGCAGUGAAAUGCGUAGAGAUCGUAAGGAAGACCAGUGGCGAAGGCGGAUCUCUGGACAGCUACUGACACUGAGGCACGAAGGCCAGGGGAGCAAACGGG
RNAcentral lists this ribosomal RNA (253 nucleotides) under uncultured bacterium. Its description in RNAcentral is "partial 16S ribosomal RNA". It matches the Rfam family "Bacterial small subunit ribosomal RNA", at positions 524 to 776 of the family's 1533-position model. The record is from RNAcentral.